UGGGGAAUUGUUCGCAAUGGGCGCAAGCCUGACGACGCAACGCCGCGUGGAGGAUGAAGGUCUUCGGAUUGUAAACUCCUGUUGCCCGGGACGAAACGCUCCGACCUAACACGUCGGAGUCUGACGGUACCGGGUGAGGAAGCCCCGGCUAACUCUGUGCCAGCAGCCGCGGUAAUACAGAGGGGGCUAGCGUUGUUCGGAAUUACUGGGCGUAAAGGGCGCGUAGGUGGCCUGUUAAGUCGAACGUGAAAUCCCCGGGCUCAACCCGGGAACUGCGUCCGAGACUGGCAGGCUCGAAUCCGGGAGAGGGAUGUGGAAUUCCAGGUGUAGCGGUGAAAUGCGUAGAUAUCUGGAGGAACACCGGUGGCGAAGGCGGCAUCCUGGACCGGUAUUGACGCUGAGGCGCGAAAGCCAGGGGAGCAAACGGGAUUAGAUACCCCGGUAGUCCUGGCCCUAAACGAUGAAUGCUUGGUGUGGCGGGCAUCGAUCCCUGCCGUGCCGAAGCUAACGCAUUAAGCAUUCCGCCUGGGGAGUACGGUCGCAAGGCUGA
Molecule: ribosomal RNA, 550 nt
Filed under: uncultured Acidobacteriota bacterium
Lineage: Bacteria; Pseudomonadati; Acidobacteriota
Description: bacterial SSU rRNA
Rfam family: Bacterial small subunit ribosomal RNA
Source: RNAcentral